Molecule: transfer RNA, 67 nt
Filed under: Diamphipnoa annulata
Lineage: Eukaryota; Metazoa; Arthropoda; Insecta; Plecoptera; Diamphipnoidae
Description: tRNA-Phe
Source: RNAcentral
AUUCAAAUAGCUUAUUUAAAGAGCGUGACAUUGAAGAUGUUAAGGAGAUCUUGUUGAUCUUUGAAUA